RNAcentral lists this transfer RNA (67 nucleotides) under Bombus asiaticus. Its description in RNAcentral is "tRNA-Met". The record is from RNAcentral. Lineage: Eukaryota; Metazoa; Arthropoda; Insecta; Hymenoptera; Apidae.
UAUAUAAUAAGCUAAAUAAAGCUUAUAGGUUCAUACCCUAUCGAUAAAUUAUGAAAUUUUUAUGUAA